Capsicum annuum is the source of this 105-nucleotide non-coding RNA. The record is from Rfam. Lineage: Eukaryota; Viridiplantae; Streptophyta; Magnoliopsida; Solanales; Solanaceae.
UGUUGAUAGUGAGGGCAAUUUCUAAGCAUACCUUUAAAUCUUUCCCAAGAUUUGUAGAUUUUCUCAUUCUUUCUGCCUAAAAUAUAGAAUCUCGCUCCUCAAAUU